GCUUUCAGCAAGAAAAAGGGCUUUAAGGAAAAAGAGCUUUAAAAAAGCUUUUCCGUAAGAUAAUGCCGGGGAAGGUUUUCCGGUUUAUCCCGGAGGGCUUGUAGCUCAGUUGGUUAGAGCGCGCGCUUGAUAAGCGUGAGGUCGGAGGUUCAAGUCCUCCCAGGCCCACCAUUUUGUAUCAAUCUAUAAGCGCUUGUAGAACUUUUUUCUAUAAGGCUUUCUUUUAUACUUAUAUGAAGCUUAUCUACGAAGAAGUUUCCUUAUCAAAAUAUGAAGUUUCUUUCCUUUGCUUAAGCAAUCGGGAGUUAAAGCGGUUCAAACAAAAAGCGGUUCAAACAAACAGUGAUCCCAUAAAGGGUAAUGUUGAAUUGAAAAAUCUUAUUUACAAAUUUUGAACCUUUUCUCUUUAUUUAGGGGCCGUAGCUCAGCUGGGAGAGCACCUGCUUUGCAAGCAGGGGGUCGUCGGUUCGAUCCCGUCCGGCUCCACCAUUUAGGUCAUCAUCAUUGUUGUGAGAACACUCUUUAGUGAGAGGUUAAGUGACCUUUCGCUUGUUCUAUUGAAAUUGUGAAGAGAAGAUAUAUUCAGACAUGUUCCUUUUGAAAUGUUUGUUUUAAAGAGCGAAAUUCGUUUUUUAAAAGACAGAUAUUCAAAAAUUUUGUCUACAGACUAAAAGUUUGUAGACGGAUUGAGAAUCUGUAGACAAACUUUGAAAAAAGAAUCUUGUGUCGCAAGGGAAUGCUCAAAGCCCUUGCAUAUGAU
This 760-nucleotide transfer RNA is filed under the name Bartonella doshiae. Its description in RNAcentral is "16S-23S ribosomal RNA intergenic spacer". The stretch from base 95 to 168 matches the Rfam family "tRNA". Lineage: Bacteria; Pseudomonadati; Pseudomonadota; Alphaproteobacteria; Hyphomicrobiales; Bartonellaceae. The record is from RNAcentral.